AAUGGAGGAAACUCUGAUGCAGCGAUGCCGCGUGAGUGAAGAAGGCCCUUGGGUUGUAAAGCUCUUUCGUCGGGGAAGAAAAUGACUGUACCCGAAUAAGAAGGUCCGGCUAACUUCGUGCCAGCAGCCGCGGUAAUACGAAGGGACCUAGCGUAGUUCGGAAUUACUGGGCUUAAAGAGUUCGUAGGUGGUUAAAAAAGUUGGUUGUGAAAUCCCGAAGCUUAACUUCGGAACUGCAAUCAAAACUUUUUAGCUAGAGUAUGAUAGAGGAAAGCAGAAUUUCUAGUGUAGAGGUGAAAUUCGUAGAUAUUAGAAAGAAUACCAAUUGCGAAGGCAGCUUUCUGGAUCAUUACUGACGCUGAGGAACGAAAGCAUGGGUAGCGAAGAGGAUU
Molecule: ribosomal RNA, 392 nt
Filed under: uncultured Gammaproteobacteria bacterium
Lineage: Bacteria; Pseudomonadati; Pseudomonadota; Gammaproteobacteria
Description: bacterial SSU rRNA
Rfam family: Bacterial small subunit ribosomal RNA
Source: RNAcentral